Molecule: long non-coding RNA, 363 nt
Filed under: Sarcophilus harrisii (Tasmanian devil)
Lineage: Eukaryota; Metazoa; Chordata; Mammalia; Dasyuromorphia; Dasyuridae
Description: lncRNA (ENSSHAG00000026912.1)
Source: RNAcentral
GGCAACGGCCUCUCAGGAGAGAGGUCAGAGAACAGCAACUGUCUGUCAGUUUCCUUGUGUAUCAUCUUCUCACAAGAUGAGAUCCAUUCUAGGUUGGAACUCCAGCAGCCACUGUCAGGUGGCUCCUGUGUGUCCCAGCAGCUCUCCCGUGUAUUCCAACAUAUGGCACCUGAACGUGGGGUAAGAAUUACAAGAAGAACCAGAGCUGUUCAUGAGAAGGAUCCUUCUAGAAUUAAGGAAGAAGAGUCCUGAAAUGUGAUGAUUACAACUUUCCUGAGGUCACAGAGUGAUGGAAAUGAAACAGCACAUUGGAGUGGAAUCACAAAGGUAAGGUUUUUUUUAUUCCUAUCAGACUUCCCUGCU